Molecule: ribosomal RNA, 492 nt
Filed under: uncultured bacterium
Lineage: Bacteria
Description: partial 16S ribosomal RNA
Rfam family: Bacterial small subunit ribosomal RNA
Source: RNAcentral
AGUGAACGCUGGCGGUAGGCCUAACACAUGCAAGUCGAACGGCAGCACAGUAAGAGCUUGCUCUUACGGGUGGCGAGUGGCGGACGGGUGAGGAAUACAUCGGAAUCUACUUUUUCGUGGGGGAUAACGUAGGGAAACUUACGCUAAUACCGCAUACGACCUACGGGUGAAAGCAGGGGAUCUUCGGACCUUGCGCGAUUGUAUGAGCCGAUGUCGGAUUAGCUAGGUGGCGGGGUAAAGGCCCACCAAGGCGACGAUCCGUAGCUGGUCUGAGAGGAUGAUCAGCUACACUGGAACUGAGACACGGUCCCGACUCCUACGGGAGGCAGCAGUGGGGAAUAUUGGGCGAUGCGCGAAAGCCUGAUCCAGCAAUACCGCGUGGGUGAAGAAGGACUUCGGGUGGUAAAGCCAUGUUGUUGGGAAAGAAAAGCAGCAGGUUAAUACGCCGCUGUUCUGACGGUACCCAAAGAAUAAGCUCCGGCUAACUUCGUG